This 68-nucleotide transfer RNA is filed under the name Gnathostoma spinigerum. RNAcentral's name for it is "tRNA-Phe". Lineage: Eukaryota; Metazoa; Nematoda; Chromadorea; Rhabditida; Gnathostomatidae. The record is from RNAcentral.
ACUCUUUUAGUUUAUUAGUAAAAUGUAACUUUGAAGAAGUUGAGAAUUUUUUUGAGUGUUGAAAAGUA